CAGUAGCCGCGGUAAUACGUAGGGUGCAAGCGUUAAUCGGAAUUACUGGGCGUAAAGCGUGCGCAGGCGGUCCGCUAAGACAGAUGUGAAAUCCCCGGGCUUAACCUGGGAACUGCAUUUGUGACUGGCGGGCUAGAGUAUGGCAGAGGGGGGUAGAAUUCCACGUGUAGCAGUGAAAUGCGUAGAGAUGUGGAGGAAUACCGAUGGCGAAGGCAGCCCCCUGGGCCAAUACUGACGCUCAUGCACGAAAGCGUGGGGAGCAAACAGGAUUAGAUACCCGGGUAGUCCCUGUCUCUUAUAA
RNAcentral lists this ribosomal RNA (301 nucleotides) under uncultured bacterium. Its description in RNAcentral is "partial 16S ribosomal RNA". It matches the Rfam family "Bacterial small subunit ribosomal RNA", at positions 509 to 809 of the family's 1533-position model. The record is from RNAcentral.